This is a long non-coding RNA of Dipodomys spectabilis (banner-tailed kangaroo rat), 783 nucleotides long. RefSeq lists it as uncharacterized. NCBI's taxonomy places the organism in Eukaryota, Metazoa, Chordata, Mammalia, Rodentia, Heteromyidae. The transcript is spliced from 4 exons. The record is from RefSeq and is a predicted model, not a curated record.
CCGGGGCGGCGAGGGCGGCAUCGGCCCACGAGCGCGGGGCACCGGGUGCUCUGCGCCCGCCUGGGACUGGAGCGAAGUCUCCAAGGAAACGCGAAGCGGAAGAAAGUUCCUGAGUCAACAGAAAGGGGCCUCCCAGGUGUGCAGGAAGGAGAUUGGGGCUGCUCUGCCCAUUUGGCUGGACCCUUUGUCAUUGCAGGAGCACAGUAUGAGAAGCUUGGCUGGUGCAUCAUGGGAGCCUGAGUCCCAAUGACGGAAGAAGUUUUUGAUCUCCAGUUCCAGCUGCUUGGCCUGGACCUCUCGCUGUGUCACCAGUUCACGGAGCCUUCGAAUCUCUUCCUGCUGUCUGUAGAACAUCUGUAGCAGCUGGGAAAGCAGAGAUCAGAGGACAGAGUUACCUGGCUAGCCUGGGAUGCUGGGGCAGGGCACUAGAAGACCAAAACACCACCCCACCCUUUUUUAGUGAUACUAGAAUUUGAACUCAGUGCUUCAUGCUUGGAAGAGGUAGUUGCUCUGCCACUUGAGCCAUGCCCAGACAUUAAAAAUAAUUUUGAUACUAUUAACAUGAUAUACAGAAGGGCUACAAUUUCAUAAGUCAGAUAAUGAGUACAUUUUUUUUGGAUAAUAUCACCCCUUCCUUUACUUUUCCCCAGUUUCUCUCUUUCAUUCCUUGUCCAUAAGUUACACAGGUCAUUUUCCACCAUAGUGUAUACUGAAGACCACUGUUGCAUUUGUUCACUCUUCCUCCCUCCCUUUCUGCACCUUUACUUUACCAACCCAGGAGAA